This is a long non-coding RNA of Poecilia reticulata (guppy), 918 nucleotides long. RefSeq lists it as uncharacterized. The record is from RefSeq and is a predicted model, not a curated record. NCBI's taxonomy places the organism in Eukaryota, Metazoa, Chordata, Actinopteri, Cyprinodontiformes, Poeciliidae.
UCAUCAUCAUCAAAUACAAUUUUUCAUGCAUGUCUGAGAAAUCCUUCGAUCUCCUGUGGCAACCAUUCAGCUGUGCAAAAUAGCUGGGUGGGCUUAGCUGCACCUUCAAGGCGUAGCUCCUCCUCCAGCUUUGGAGCUUCCAUCUCACAGAGCAGCCUUCACCCACAACUGUGUGUUAGGGUGACCUAUGACCCCCCACAAGUGGUGGACAAUGUCUCCCACCCCAUGCAUGAAGCUGUUGCUGAACUCCAGGAUGCUGCAUCCUCAGUGCACUAAGCAGCCUUAUCAGAUAUCCUUCCUCCCAGCAGCUGUUACAGCAGUUGUCACGGCUCCCAACAAGCUCAAUAAGUGUUUACAUACAAGCUGGUAUUUGCACUGUUCGAUUUUUUUGUUUUGUUUUUGAUUUGCAAGUUUUUUUUUCAAACUUUCAAAUUUUCAACAUUUGGAGCACAGAAAUUCUCUUUUCCAGAAAAUUUCAGCGAUUAAUCUCAAAAUUCCUUAACCUAGUUUAGCUGAAACUGACUCCUUCUUUUAUUUCUAUACCUACAAUACACCAUGGAUUAAAGCAAAAACCUACCAAACAGGUUUCUGCCAUUUCAAUGUGCGAAACAGCCGACUGUUGGGGAAACAGGAGAAAAAGGGGAAACGGCAACGAGAAACUCGCUUUUCAGCUGGAGGACAAAACUACAAUGAUUUCUUCCAAACAAGAAGGGGCGGCGAGCUGGCUACUGAUCAACACCUGGAGUUUUCCACUGUCCUAUAUCAAAGGCAUCCAUCUUCAUUAACAGGCAGCAGAUGCGCAGGGUUGUGGAAGGCUCCGGGAACGAAACGGAGCAACAGCAAGAAUCCAAUUUCAGUGAUUAAAACCAGAAACAUGUCGGAGACGAGCAGAGAGCGUUAACGGCGGGAGAAGUUCGA